This 5338-nucleotide long non-coding RNA is filed under the name Gossypium barbadense (sea-island cotton). RNAcentral describes it as "long non-coding RNA (GBAR_LNC015271)". Lineage: Eukaryota; Viridiplantae; Streptophyta; Magnoliopsida; Malvales; Malvaceae. The record is from RNAcentral.
UAGCAGAUCAUUUCUGUUUCUUUAUUGCUCUGAAAACUUUCUCUCUUCCAAACUCCAUCUCUCGAUGCUUCCCUAAUCUGGUUCGCUCAGCUCAUCAUGCCAUGCUUGGGUCUCUGCAUAAUCAGGAACGCCCAUUUCCAGGUAAAAUUCCUCUCCUCUUCUUAGCGUCUCUGUUGCAAGGAUAUGUGCAAGGUUGUUUGCAGAUCUUGUUGUGUGAAGAAAUCUGAUAUUUUUUACUUCUAGUAUUUUCUGUUGUAUAUCAUAAAUAUAUGCCCCUACCAUUGAUCUGUCAUGAUCCUUUUUGUUGCAUUUCUUGAUUAUUACGAGGGAAUCUCCUUCAAAAAUGAGUGCCUGCCAACCAUGGUCAACUCCUACUUGGACUGCUUUCCGACAGGCAAUUGCUUUAGCAGCAAAAGCAGAUGGAACUCCAUUGUGGAUUUCUGAGCAGGAUAAAAGAAUUUUUCCUUCCGAGUCUCUGGCCACAACACCUGAGGCUGACCGGUUCUGAAUCUGAUUAUAUGCACUAUCAAAAUUAAUCUUUAUGGAUUCCCACUGUGGGUGUGUCCAUCUCUCAUUUCCUUUCAUUAUUUCUGAGUUUCUUUGUUCAAGAUCAGUUAACUCAAUGAUGUAAUUACUAACAAAGUUUGCAACUUCUAUUCCAUUACUAACUUUGCCUUCAUGUAUGUUUCUUUUUCUGUCUCCCCAUAUGGCCUAUAGUGCACAGCAAAAGAGUCGACUUUGAUUUGGGUUUAACUGCUCUAGCGCCCAGGUGAGCCAUUGUACAAAAUCUUCGCUUUGAUACAUCAUAAUGUUCUGAAAUGAUAACAUUUUCCAUACCUCUCUUGUAACAGCACAGUCACGGAAUAAGUGAUUCAUCGUUUCAGCUCCUUCUCCACAUCGGGGACACCUUGUGUUGACUGCUAAUUUUCGGUGUUGUAGAUUUACCUUUGUAGGCAGAUAGUUCCAUGAUAGCCGCCACAUUGUGAUAUUUAUUUUUGUUGGUAUAUUCAGGCUCCAAAGUGUUUUGUAAAAUUUUCUGUAGAGGUUUUGUAAAGCAUAAGCUCUAGGAUUAUCAGUCGAUCUCUGUAAUAGUUGAUAGGCACUUCGUACCGUGAAUUCACCCGACUUCUCCCUUCCCCAAAUAAGAAAAUCUUCAUGCGGUGAUUGUGCCAGCGGGAUCCUAAGGAUUCUUUCAGCAUCUGCUUCAGUGAAGGUAUUGUUAAUCAACUCUGCAUUCCAGCUUCUACUAUUACUGUCGAUUAACUCCUUUACUUUAGAAACGCGCAUAGAAUUAACUCCUGACGACAAUUUAAAAUUAUCAGAAUCUGGAAUCCAAGCAUCAGUAAUGGAUAUACUAGAACCCGUUCCCACCUUCCAACAGUGCCCUAUUAUCAAUAAGGCUUUGGCUGCCCAAACACUUUUCCACACAUAAGAACAAGAGUUUCCUAACUGGGAGUUUAAAAAAUCAUUUUCUGGGAAGUAUUUGGCUUUAAAAACUUGCGCAACAAGAGAACCCUGAUUAUUCAUAAUCUGCCAUCCUUGUUUAGCCAAUAAUGAGAUAUUGAAUUGCGCCAUAUUUCGGAAACCCAUACCUCCCUCCUCUUUAGGCUUACACAUAUAUUCCCAUUGGCACCAAUGUAUCCCUUUUUUGCCUUUUCCUUUCUGCCACCAGAAUCUGGCAAACAGUUUUUCUAUCUCCUCACAGAAAGAUUUUGGUAGCAAAAAACAUGUCAUCGCAUAAAUAGGGAUUGCUUGAAGUACUGCUUUAAUGAAAACUUCUUUGCCUCAUUGAGAUAAGAAACGUGUACUCCAAUUAUCUAUCUUCUGUUUAAUUUUUUCCUUUAGAUUCUGAAAGGCUUCCUUCUUCUUUCUUCCAACCAUGCUUGGCAGUCCAAGAUACUUUUCUAUAUUAGUCGAGCACCUUAUCCCCAAUUCAGCCGAGAUGCUAACUUUAUCUGCUUCCGUUGUAUUCGAACUGAAAAAAAUUGAGGACUUGUUAAAGUUCACACAUUGACCAGAACUAAUCUCAUAUUCCUUCAAAAUCUCAUUUAAGAUUCUUAUUCUGUCUUUAGUCACUUCACCAAACAACAUGCAGUCAUCUGCAAAUAAUAAGUGUGAAAUUGUCGGACCUCUUCUGUUGGCCUUUACUCCUUUUAUCAGCCCUUCCCGUGUUGCGAUUCUGAUUAAAGACGAAAGUCCUUCGCCUGCAAAUAAGAAAAAGGAAAAGACUAAGCGGAUCACCUUGUCGAAGUCCUCUGGUAGGUUUAAAAACUCUGCCUCUUUUACCAUUUAUGGAAACUACAUAAGAUACUGUAGAGAUACAUCGCAUAAUUAGUGAUACACAUUCCUCUGCAAAUCCCAUACUGACCAUAACUGCCUUCAAAAAACCCUAUUCGACUCUAUCAUAAGCUUUACUCAUAUCCAACUUUAACGCCAUGAGACCUUUUUUCCCAUUACGCUUUUGACGAAGUGUGUGUAAAACUUCAUAGGCUAUUAAGAUAUUAUCCGAAAUAAGCCUCCCAGGAACAAAAGCACUUUGAGCACUAUCAAUACACCUUCCAAUAACUGUCUGCAUACGAUUGGCAAUAGAUUUGGCUAUGAUUUUAUAUACUACUGUGCAUAAGCUAAUGGGUCUGAAAUUGGCGAGAUUGGUAGGAUUGGAAUACUUCGGAAUAAGAGCAAUCUCUGUUAAAUUUAGAUCUUCAAUAUCCUUUCCAUUGUUCAGAAACUCCAAACAAAACUUCCCAACAUCUUUACCCACAAUAUCCCAAUAUUUUUGAAAAAAUAAUGCCGAAAAACCAUCAUAACCAGGUGCUUUGGUAGGUCCCAUACUUUUUACUGCACUAAAGAUCUCUUCUUCCAAAAACUUUUCUAAAAGGGCCAUGUUAAUAUCUGAAGAAAUGUUGUUGAUACCUGAUAGAAGAUGAGAUAGGUCUCCUAUGCCAUUAGUUGAAAAGAGUUCCUGGAAAUACUUUGUUGCACUUGCAUUUAUUUCUGAUUCCUCAUAGAUCCCCUCCCCAUCAUCUGUAUCCAACCUGCUAAUUGUGUUGAUUCAUUUUCGCAUUGAGGGAUAUUUGUAAAAGAAAGCCGUAUUUUUAUCCCCUAGCUUAAGCCAGUUAGCCCGUGCUCUUUGCUCCCAGUACAUUUCUUCUUUGUCAAUCUCCAUAUUCAGAUGUAUUCUCUUGUCAAUAAUCUGCGCCAUUGUAUCAUCAUUUCGUUCAUCCUCCAAUAAUCGUUCAAGCUCUUUUGUAAGUUUUCCGGUCAAUCCCUUUUGUUUUUUCUUUAUUGAAUUGGCCCAUCUUGUCAGAUUAGUCUGUAAUCUUUCUAUCUUUUCAAAAAUAGAUCCAUUUGAUGAUUCCCAUGAACUCUUUAUCUCCUCUUCAAUCGUUUUCUCUGUAGUCCACCAUGCUUCAAAUUUAAAAACUGGGAUUCUCUUCAAAUUACUUUCAGUAUUGGUACUAAUUAAAAGAGGACAAUGAUCCGAAAAUGAAGACAUUAAGUGGUGUACAUUGCCUGUUGGAAAAAAUUCCAUCCAUUUUUCAUUUGCUACACUCCUGUCAAGUCUUUCUCUAAUAUUUGUUUCCGGUAAAUUUCCCCUUUCCCAUGUAUACCAUUUACCCGAGUAUCCCACAUCAAUAAGAGAACAUUAUUUUAGAACUUCAUGGAACACUUCCAUCCUUUUCUCCUCCCUCGGUUGACCUCCCAUUUUUUCAAAGGAAUAAGCAAUUUCAUUGAAAUCUCCACUUACCAACCAAGGAUGCUCUUGUUCCUGUCCUAAAUAUCUUAAUAAAUCCCAUGAAACAUUUUUAUUCUAUGAGUAAGGGGAUCCAUAAAAGCUGGUGAAUCUCCACUCUUUACUAGCUCCUUCUUCGAUCAGCACAUCAAUAUGGUUGGUUGAGAAAGUUUUGAGCUCAACUUGAACCGCCUCUUUCCAUGCUAGGCAAAUGCCUUCCCGCGAACCUGUUGCAUCUACAUCUAUCCCAUUCAUAAACCCACACCUCCUCCUAAUUUUCUCCAUUUGCUUUCCACUAACCUUAGUCUCCAUAAGGAAGACCAAUUGAGGAUUAUUUUGCUUCAAUAAAAACCGAAGCCUUCUCACUGCCCGUGGACUCCUCAAUCCACAGACAUUCCAACAUAUGAUUUUCAUUGCGACCGGUCGACUUGCCUUUUGGCAGCCGCCGAUUCAUUUUGGUUAGGUGAUUCAACUGGAAAAUUGAUUUUCGUCUCCUGUGUUAAGUAUUGAUCGCCAAAUUUCAUCCUUUUAAUUGCUCCUUCCUAUUUCCAUUUACACCGUAAUCCUCCUGUACCAACUCUUUCCAUUUUCGUUUCUGCAGCUUACUCUCUGCCUCAUACUGUCUCAUCACUUCUAUUUGUUCAACUCUUUUCCACCUAGCUUCCCUGCCCUGCUUCAAUAUAUUUGCGUUUCUAUUUUUUGUGGUUUUUCCAUUUGUUUCUUCAUUCUGUUGUAUCUGUAAACCUGCUUCUAAAGUUUCCAGCCAAGCAUCUUCCUGUACUCCUUCCAUCAUAUCGCUCAUUUGUUCACUGUUUACAACUCCUAUAUACGAACAUUGCACUUGUGAUUUUUUUGAUAAAGCAUUAAACUUCAGACUCUCCUUCCCAAUCAAAUUUAAUUCUGCUUUUAAUGCCAAAGAGUAAGGUGGAUCCUCUCUAAUUCUAAUUUUCUCCGCAGGUGUAAUGCUUGUACAGUCCUGGAGACCAUGCCCCAGUUUUCCACAUCCAAAACAGAAGGUUGGCAAUUUUUCAUACUUGAAAGGGAUCCAGCAUUUAUUCCCAUUCCCUGUUGACACAAAUAUACCUCUACGAAGUGGUUUUUGCACAUUGAGCUGUAUUCUAAGGCGACAAAACUCACCGCUAAUUUCAGAUCUGAUCACUCCACCAAACGUGACCCCUACAGCAUGCAGAAGAUCCUUUUUAUCAAACUCUGGUAAACAGGGUCCAAUUUUGAUCCAAAACGGAGAUGAAACAAGCGUAAUUUGGUCUCUCAUUGUCGGCUUACAAAUCCGGUCAAAAAUAAUUAAAUUCUUCCUAAACAACCAUGGUUGGCCUUCCAUCACAGAUUCUAAAUCAUCCUCUGAUUCAAACGUUAUCAAAAAAAGAUUUUGCCCCACCAAUUGAAUCUCAAACUUUUCCUUUGUUUUCCAGAUACUUUUCAUCUGUGCUUUAAAACUAUCAUGAUUAUAAGAUUUAUUUGUCCAAACAGAACAGAUCAGAGAAGGUUUACCGUUUGGCUCCACCAUCGAGCUUUUGACCGAUAGUUGAGUAAGUUCCUCUUCUAAUAGGGAGAUCUCGUCUCUCCCAACCCCGUUGAUGCCACCAC